RNAcentral lists this ribosomal RNA (464 nucleotides) under uncultured bacterium. RNAcentral's name for it is "partial 16S ribosomal RNA". It matches the Rfam family "Bacterial small subunit ribosomal RNA", at positions 355 to 831 of the family's 1533-position model. The record is from RNAcentral.
UGGGGAAUAUUGCACAAUGGGCGCAAGCCUGAUGCAGCAACGCCGCGUGAGGGACGACGGCCUUCGGGUUGUAAACCUCUUUUAGUAGGGAAGAAGCGAAAGUGACGGUACCUGCAGAAAAAGCACCGGCUAACUACGUGCCAGCAGCCGCGGUAAUACGUAGGGUGCGAGCGUUGUCCGGAAUUAUUGGGCGUAAAGAGCUCGUAGGCGGUCUGUCGCGUCUGCUGUGAAAACCCGAGGCUCAACCUCGGGCCUGCAGUGGGUACGGGCAGACUAGAGUGCGGUAGGGGAGAAUGGAAUUCCUGGUGUAGCGGUGGAAUGCGCAGAUAUCAGGAGGAACACCGAUGGCGAAGGCAGUUCUCUGGGCCGUAACUGACGCUGAGGAGCGAAAGCGUGGGGAGCGAACAGGAUUAGAUACCCUGGUAGUCCACGCCGUAAACGUUGGGCGCUAGAUGUGGGGACCA